CUGAACCUUCGGGGAACGAUAACGGCGUCGAGCGGCGGAAAGGUGAGUAAUGCCUAGGAAAUUGCCCUGAUGUGGGGGAUAACCAUUGGAAACGAUGGCUAAUACCGCAUAAUGCCUACGGGCCAAAGAGGGGGACCUUCGGGCCUCUCGCGUCAGGAUAUGCCUAGGUGGGAUUAGCUAGUUGGUGAGGUAAGGGCUCACCAAGGCGACGAUCCCUAGCUGGUCUGAGAGGAUGAUCAGCCACACUGGAACUGAGACACGGUCCAGACUCCUACGGGAGGCAGCAGUGGGGAAUAUUGCACAAUGGGCGCAAGCCUGAUGCAGCCAUGCCGCGUGUGUGAAGAAGGCCUUCGGGUUGUAAAGCACUUUCAGUCGUGAGGAAGGUAGUGUAGUUAAUAGCUGCAUUAUUUGACGUUAGCGACAGAAGAAGCACCGGCUAACUCCGUGCCAGCAGCCGCGGUAAUACGGAGGGUGCGAGCGUUAAUCGGAAUUACUGGGCGUAAAGCGCAUGCAGGUGGUUUGUUAAGUCAGAUGUGAAAGCCCGGGGCUCAACUCGGAAUGCAUUUGAAACUGGCAGACUAGAGUACUGUAGAGGGGGGAGAAUUUCGGUGUAGCGGUGAAAGCGUAGAGAUCUGAAGGAAUACCGGUGGCGAAGGCGGCCCCCUGGACA
RNAcentral lists this ribosomal RNA (670 nucleotides) under Vibrio campbellii. RNAcentral describes it as "bacterial SSU rRNA". It matches the Rfam family "Bacterial small subunit ribosomal RNA", at positions 67 to 735 of the family's 1533-position model. Lineage: Bacteria; Pseudomonadati; Pseudomonadota; Gammaproteobacteria; Vibrionales; Vibrionaceae. The record is from RNAcentral.